RNAcentral lists this non-coding RNA (163 nucleotides) under bovine gut metagenome. Its description in RNAcentral is "Lysine riboswitch". It matches the Rfam family "Lysine riboswitch aptamer". Rfam says of the family: Riboswitches are metabolite binding domains within certain messenger RNAs that serve as precision sensors for their corresponding targets. Allosteric rearrangement of mRNA structure is mediated by ligand binding, and this results in modulation of gene expression. The record is from RNAcentral.
GAGAUAGAGGUUGCGUGUUUUAUCAGUAUUUUUUCGGAUGCGGCAGGCGCAGUUGAAGGGAAAUGAAAGGGAAACGCGCCGAAGGGUUCCGGUGCCAUGCGGCCGGGAUGCCUGGGCACACAGUCAAGAACUGCGUGACUGUCAUCGGAUGAUGGGGCGCUAU